GCAGCCUUCACACAUCUGCAGCCUCCAUCUGCUCCCCUGUUGUGGGAUAUCGUCCUCUGUUCGGGCAUCGCUUGCUUUGCACAAGACGUGUCUGUGUGAAAGUUUUACUGCACCACCCACUCCUUCUCGGCAGCUGCCUAUGCUCAAACAGCAUCCAUCACUCUGCAUCUGUCAGGAGCACACAGGGCAUCGGCUCGCAGAGGAAAUUCACACAGAACUUACAGUCCAGCUACAUCCAUGAGUUGACAGUUACCCGGCAAUGCGCCCAUGGAAAGGAAUAGUAAAAAAGAUGUUGGACGUUCAUGUCAGAAGCCCGACCAUGGGCGAAUCACCCACCACCUACAAUCCUCAGCCUCCCUCUCUGUCAGGGAGGGAGAAUAACAGCUAGCCCAUAUCUGUCCUGGUUGUGGUGAGAAUCAAGUGGAACAAUGUACAUGAACGCUUUGCAAACUGUGAAGCUCUGUGAGAUAUAGAGCAUUGUUAUUACCACUAUGACGCCAACUGUGAAGUGCACAAGAGAGCAAUCGGGUGGCAGACCACGUUCUUUGCCUUCCCAACAGCCAUUCCAUACUCCUUCCUUGCUCCCUGACCCCCAAUUGUGUUCAGGUAGCAGGUGGCUCUAUGUCUGGCACCCAGGAAUGGAUCGUGAUUCAUCCACAGGGUCGUGGAAGUCCCGUCUCUUCUUUGCAGCUUUGAGCCUUUCUCAGGAAGAACCCCCUGGAGGAUAUUUCAAUCAAAACAAAGCAGUAAACUAAGCGAAAGAAAUACAGAGGAAAACAAGGCUGUGGUCCAAGAAAGCGGACAGAGAAAACAAAGCAUGACAUACAGGAAACAGGAG
RNAcentral lists this long non-coding RNA (838 nucleotides) under Equus caballus (horse). Its description in RNAcentral is "lncRNA (ENSECAG00000047325.1)". The record is from RNAcentral. Lineage: Eukaryota; Metazoa; Chordata; Mammalia; Perissodactyla; Equidae.